This is a long non-coding RNA of Chroicocephalus ridibundus (black-headed gull), 1055 nucleotides long. RefSeq lists it as uncharacterized. The record is from RefSeq and is a predicted model, not a curated record. The transcript has 3 exons. NCBI's taxonomy places the organism in Eukaryota, Metazoa, Chordata, Aves, Charadriiformes, Laridae.
CACCUACGUUUAAAAAAAGCUUUGUCUCAAAGUGUUAUUUCCAGCUGCUUCAAUGUUUCCCCUGUUAUCCGUUUAUGUCAACGUUCAGUUGACUCUGGUGGUUCAUAACUUCGUAUUUCACAAUAUGUGAUUACUCAACCCGUGCUCUUCUGCCUACCAUCGCCCCACAACAUAAAAGGGUGUUUAUGGUUGUGCUUUUCCUGCUGGAGCAAUGUUGUUGGGGAAAUCCAGCAAAAGCAGCUUACUAGACUCGAGACUCUUCAGUGUCUCACACUCGGCCUUUAAUUCAGAUGCAACCAUUGUGUUCAUCCAAACCCUGCAUUACUGAGAGAGUGCCUGAAGGCUGCACCAAGUCUGGAGGCAUUCCUUCGCUCCUGAAGGACACAAAGGUUGGCAGAACCCACUCUUCCAUCCCUGCUCGUGGCUGCAAGUGGCAGACUGGGUUUUGGUUUGAAAAUGAGUGAUCGAUAUAGCGUCAAGGAGCAAGAAGAGCUAUUAUUCAAGUUUCCUUCUCGGCAAGAAUUCUGAAUUACGUGCUGCCUGUGUUAGGAAUUUGCUUUUUACAAUGGAGAAACCACCUGCAAGUUUUCCUGGGAAUUGCAAUCAACAGAAUUACCAUUUGCAGAACAGCUUAGUAUUUUGGCUUUUACUUAUUUAGCAUCUGCCUGACACAUCCCCCAGCCCUCCAGUAUGGACAACAAGGAACUUUUGAUUUCUAGGCUUCCAUCUCUGCAAAGAAUGAAACUGGAACAGUUCAAAUGCUGUUUCACCCAUCUGAAGACGACGAUAUUGUGUCUGAAACACUCUGCAUUUAUGCUUCAAAAAGACUUAUCUCCCUUCACCCAGUCAAUACCAGUAUUACCCAUUUUUCAUUCUAACCAUAUUCUUGCUAUGGAACAGUAAGCAAAAAUUAAUUUGCGUGUAUGAGCUGGACUAACUGCAUAUACCUUUGAAAUGACAGCUUUAUACAGUAUUAUUACAAGCCCAAAUAAGUAAAAAACUGAGCACAGAUGUCAUAUUUUGCAACUGAGUGAAACUACAACAUUAAUGCUCAG